This 465-nucleotide ribosomal RNA is filed under the name Vreelandella stevensii. Its description in RNAcentral is "partial 16S ribosomal RNA". It matches the Rfam family "Bacterial small subunit ribosomal RNA", at positions 338 to 795 of the family's 1533-position model. The record is from RNAcentral. Lineage: Bacteria; Pseudomonadati; Pseudomonadota; Gammaproteobacteria; Oceanospirillales; Halomonadaceae.
CCUACGGGAGGCUGCAGUGGGGAAUAUUGGACAAUGGGCGAAAGCCUGAUCCAGCCAUGCCGCGUGUGUGAAGAAGGCCUUCGGGUUGUAAAGCACUUUCAGUGGGGAAGAAAGCCUUGGGGCUAAUACCCUCGAGGAAGGACAUCACCCACAGAAGAAGCACCGGCUAACUCCGUGCCAGCAGCCGCGGUAAUACGGAGGGUGCGAGCGUUAAUCGGAAUUACUGGGCGUAAAGCGCGCGUAGGCGGUCUGAUAAGCCGGUUGUGAAAGCCCCGGGCUCAACCUGGGAACGGCAUCCGGAACUGUCAGGCUAGAGUGCAGCAGAGGAAGGUAGAAUUCCCGGUGUAGCGGUGAAAUGCGUAGAUAUCGGGAGGAAUACCAGUGGCGAAGGCGGCCUUCUGGACUGACACUGACGCUGAGGUGCGAAAGCGUGGGUAGCAAACAGGAUUAGAUACCCGAGUAGUC